This is a long non-coding RNA of Lytechinus variegatus (green sea urchin), 1040 nucleotides long. RefSeq lists it as uncharacterized. Lineage: Eukaryota; Metazoa; Echinodermata; Echinoidea; Temnopleuroida; Toxopneustidae. The record is from RefSeq and is a predicted model, not a curated record. The transcript is spliced from 3 exons.
GUACGUGGGGGUCUGUAUUGAGUUGAUGUGACAUAAGCCAACGUUCCUGCGGGUUUGGGGUGGGAUCACACCCCGAAUAACCCCCUUACGAUCGGAAUAAACCCUCUCAAGCUCUCAAGUCUUUGUUAUUCUGUACGUUGUGAAUUGAAGGAGGGAUCCGGGGUGCAGGGGGUGAUGAGGAAGAGAACACAUGCAAGGUCUCCUUCAAACCUUCAACCCCCAAUGAUUAACGGAGGCCAACAUGCCAUUGACUGGUUGUGUGUCGUGUCCUACAUUAAACAUAGGACUCCUAUAUGGAUUUAAUUGUUGUGACAUUCGCAAUAUUGCCAGAGCACCUUAGCCGGCCCUUAGAGCAAUCGCCAGUGAAGUUCAAAAAUCCUUGAUCGAGUGAUAUAGUAUUUUGGGUGCUUUGCACCGUUGGAUUAUUGCCAGUGAAGUUCAAACCAUCCUUGAUCCAGUGAUAGAAUCUUUUGGUUGUUUCGCAUCGUUGGCAUCGUUGGAUUAUUGCCAGUGAAGUUCAAAACAUCCUUGAUCCAGUGAGAGAAUCGUUUGGGUGUUUUGCGUCGUUGAUUUACGCCAAAGUUUUAGAAUAACGAAUACUAAUUCGGCAAAGUUUCAGGAAGAAUUUCUUUGUGGACGUUAAGGUGAACUUAAAAGCGGCAGAUAUUUAAUUACUGUUUUAGCCCUCGUCAUGCUAAUGCGAUAAUCAUCACAUCUGACCUGAUUCUGCACUUCUCUGGUUUGGGGAUUCCUCGAUCGCAGCGGAUUCUUUGUAUUCGAAGUUAACACUAAUACAGCUGUAUAACCUGCAUUUAAACAGUAUAGUAUUUGGAUGGCUCCCACCAAGAACAUGAUGCUAUACAUAUUGGUCGCAUAUUUAUGCCUACUUCUGAACAUUGGAUCAGCGAAUUUUCAUUGUCCAGAGCAUGAAUACCAAGUUCUCUACGUCCAGGAAGGGGUUUCGAUCACAUUACCCUGUACCUAUACACCUACAAACAUCGAUACGGACGUUAAUUUUUACUGGUAUGCUAAGCAUGCUA